Anastrepha ludens (Mexican fruit fly) is the source of this 1471-nucleotide RNA transcript. It is a transcript of the gene named gamma-interferon-inducible lysosomal thiol reductase, with no coding region annotated. The transcript has 6 exons. NCBI's taxonomy places the organism in Eukaryota, Metazoa, Arthropoda, Insecta, Diptera, Tephritidae. The record is from RefSeq and is a predicted model, not a curated record.
AUCAGCGUUAUCCAUUCGUUUGUUCAUCGCCGAAGCGUAAACACAUCUGGCAACUUACACGCGCGCGUACGUGAAAUUGUUUUUUAACGGUGCAAUAAUUCGUAAAAGUAGUUUUAUUUGUGUUAGCAACGUACGAAUAAGAACAAAAAAACAAAAAAUUAAGCGAAAACAAAUUUUUAACGAAAACAAUCGGGUUCUUGCAAAAUUAGCACAGCUGCUGAGAUCAACUGAGUCUGAAAUAAAAUUAAAAAAAAAUACGAACACCCAUAAAUCUUGCAAAAAUCCAACUUUUAAGAAUUCAACUAACGUUUGCUACCAAAAACUUUUCACAAUGUUGAAUAAUAAAGUCAGAUUGUUUGUGAUCUUUUUGCUUGCUAUCAUUUCCGUUGUGUGGCCAAGCACUCAAGCUGCUGAUGCAAACAAGCUUAAUGUCACCAUUUUGUAUGAAUCGUUAUGUCCGGAUAGCGUUAAUUUUAUGAUCAAGCAGUUAGCGCCAGCUUAUGAAAAACUCAAAGGAAACUUGAAUGUAAAUCUCGUACCGUUUGGAAAAUCACGUUCCGUCAACGGCGGCAGCCAAUUCUACUGUCAACAUGGACCACCAGAAUGCUCUGGGAAUCUUUUGCAGUCGUGCGUUUUGAAUCAGGAAAGCACACAGGACCAGCGAGUACGUUUCGCCAUCUGCCAAAUGAGGUCAAGAGAUAAGCAAAGUGUUGAGGAAUGCACCGAUUUGGUUGGCCUCAGCAGCGACAUCAGCGAUUGCGUUGAUACAAACUUGGGCAAGCAGUUGCAACUAUUGGCCGAGCAAGUGACCAACCAGUAUUCGCUGAAAUUUGUGCCAACAAUAAUUUAUGAUGGUGUUUUCAACCAACUGCUUCAGGAUGCAUCAUUUUUCGACUUCCACAGCACCGUUUGUGUGCUGCUGCAGAGACGUGGGGUUGCCGACGAGUCUUGCCAGUGAAUGAAAUGGUACAACGGCGAUUGAUGAGGGGAAUGACAGCAAAAAAAACUAAAUUGAUUAAAAAAAUUUGUCUAGUCUAGUAACUGUCAGAGACCAAGUUUUAUUAUUGGUUUUUAAAUACACAUCAGUCUUAUUGGAAGAAAAUAGUUGUGGAAUGUUGCUUUGCUGUCAACCGCGAACACCCAAUACCAUCUAUUCAAAGAGUAUCCAGAAUUUCUCAUUCAAGCAUACUGGGCCUGAGACAUUAGAGAUAUACUUAUGAUUUUACAUGGCAGAAAUACACUCGGAUGUUUGCCAUUGGCUGCCGAAGGGCGACUGCAAUUAGAAAAACUGUUUCUGUAAUUUUAAGUUUCGUGCCCGUGGCUGUGUAUGUGCAAUAUGUGUAUAUAUAAAUAUAAUUUUGGCAAAUUAGAACCCUUUAGAGGCAAGAAACUCUGUUCAGAUCGAAUAACUGAGAACUUGGAAUGAUCAAAAGAUUUAACAAGUCAACUUAAUAUACGGAAAAUAUUAUAA